RNAcentral lists this ribosomal RNA (1251 nucleotides) under Agromyces mediolanus. RNAcentral's name for it is "bacterial SSU rRNA". It matches the Rfam family "Bacterial small subunit ribosomal RNA", at positions 65 to 1326 of the family's 1533-position model. Lineage: Bacteria; Bacillati; Actinomycetota; Actinomycetes; Micrococcales; Microbacteriaceae. The record is from RNAcentral.
AACGAUGANCUUGGAACUUGCUCUGGGGGAUUAUUGGCGAACGGGUGAGUAACACGUGAGUAACCUGCCCUGGAAUCUGGGAUAACUUCGAGAAAUCGGAGCUAAUACCGGAUAGGACCUUGCACCGCAUGGUGUGGGGUGGAAAGUUUUUCGGUUUGGGAUGGACUCGCGGCCUAUCAGCUUGUUGGUGAGGUAAUGGCUCACCAAGGCGUCAACGGGUAGCCGGCCUGAAAGGGUGACCGGCCACACUGGGACUGAGACACGGCCCAUACUCCUACGGGAGGCAGCACUGGGGAAUAUUGCGCAAUGGGCGCAAGCCUGAUGCAGCAACGCCGCGUGCGGGAUGACGGCCUUCAGGUUGUAAACCGCUUUUAGUAGGGAAGAAGCUUCGGGUGACGGUACCUGCAGAAAAAGGACCGGCUAACUACGUGCCAGCAGCCGCGGUAAUACUUAGGGUCCGAGCGUUGUCCGGAAUUAUUGGGCGUAAAGAGCUGGUAGGCGGUUUGUCACGUCUGCUGUGAAAACUAUAGGCUCAACCUCUACCCUGCAGUGGGUACGGGCAGACUUGAGUGGUGUAGGGGAGACUGGAAUUCCUGGUGUAGCGGUGGAAUGCGCAGAUAUCAGGAGGAACACCGCUGGCGAAGGCAGGUCUCUGGGCACUUACUGACGCUGACGAGCGAAAGCGUGGGGAGCGAACAGGAUUAGAUACCCUGGUAGUCCACGCCGUAAACGUUGGGCGCUAGAUGUGGGGACCUUUCCACGGUUUCCGUGUCGUAGCUAACGCAUUAAGCGCCCCGCCUGGGGAGUACGGCCGCAAGGCUAAAACUCAAAGGAAUUGACGGGGGCCCGCACAAGCGGCGGAGCAUGCGGAUUAAUUUGAUGCAACGCGAAGAACCUUACCAAGGCUUGACAUACACGAGAACGGGCCAGAAAUGGUCAACUCUUUGGACACUCGUGAACAGCUGGUGCAUGGUUGUCGUCAGCUCGUGUCGUGAGAUGUUGGGUUAAGUCCCGCAACGAGCGCAACCCUCCUCGCAUGUUGCCAGCACCUUAUGGUGGGGACUCAUGUGAGACUGCCGGGGUCAACUCGGAGGAAGGUGGGGAGGACGUCAAAUCAUCAUGCCCCCUAUGUCUUGGGCUUCACGCAUGCUACAAUGGCCGGUACAAAGGGGUGCGAUGUCGUAAGGCGGAGCGAAUCCCAAAAAACCGGUUUCAGUUUGGAUUGAGGUUUGCAACUUGACCUCAUGAAGU